Molecule: ribosomal RNA, 497 nt
Filed under: uncultured bacterium
Lineage: Bacteria
Description: partial 16S ribosomal RNA
Rfam family: Bacterial small subunit ribosomal RNA
Source: RNAcentral
GAUGAACGCUGGCGGCGUGCCUAAUACAUGCAAGUCGAGCGAACGGACGAGAAGCUUGCUUCUCUGAUGUUAGCGGCGGACGGGUGAGUAACACGUGGAUAACCUACCUAUAAGACUGGGAUAACUUCGGGAAACCGGAGCUAAUACCGGAUGAUAUUUUGAACCGCAUGGUUCAAAAGUGAAAGACGGUCUUGCUGUCACUUAUAGAUGGAUCCGCGCUGCAUUAGCUAGUUGGUAAGGUAACGGCUUACCAAGGCAACGAUGCAUAGCCGACCUGAGAGGGUGAUCGCCCACACUGGAACUGAGACAGGGUCAAGACUCCUACGGGAGGCAGCAGUAGGGAAUCUUCCGCAAUGGGCGAAAGCCUGACGGAACAACGCCGCGUGAGUGAUGAAGGUCUUCGGAUCGUAAAACUCUGUUAUUAGGGAAGAACAUAUGUGUAAGUAACUGUGCACAUCUUGACGGUACCUAAUCAGAAAGCCACGGCUAACUACGUG